Molecule: ribosomal RNA, 479 nt
Filed under: uncultured Sphingobacteriales bacterium
Lineage: Bacteria; Pseudomonadati; Bacteroidota; Sphingobacteriia; Sphingobacteriales
Description: bacterial SSU rRNA
Rfam family: Bacterial small subunit ribosomal RNA
Source: RNAcentral
AAACUUAAAGGAAUUGACGGGGCCCGCACAAGCGGAGGAACAUGUGGUUAAUUCGAUGAUACGCGAGGAACCUUACCUGGGCUUAAAUGGGAGUGACAGCUGUCGAAAGAUGGUUUCUUCGGACACUCUUCAAGGUGCUGCAUGGUUGUCGUCAGCUCGUGCCGUGAGGUGUCGGGUUAAGUCCCAUAACGAGCGCAACCCUUACCGUUAGUUACCAUCAGGUUAAGCUGGGGACUCUAGCGGGACUGCCACCGUAAGGUGAGAGGAAGGUGGGGAUGACGUCAAAUCAGCACGGCCCUUAUGUCCAGGGCUACACACGUGUUACAAUGGCCAGUACAAAGGGCAGCUACCGGGUGACCGGAUGCUAAUCUCUAAAGCUGGUCUCAGUUCGGAUCGAAGUCUGCAACCCGACUUCGUGAAGCUGGAUUCGCUAGUAAUCGCGCAUCAGCCAUGGCGCGGUGAAUACGUUCCCGGGCCUU